AGACGCGCAAGGGAGAGGAUUUCAUACAAGUACCAUCUCUCGUACUGAAAGGGAGGUCGCAAGACCCAUGGUGUGCACACAACACGAAUGCCCAACACCGACCGGGCUCUACGGAGCUUGAGUUUGAGUGUGCCUGUUUGGACCCGAAAGGUGGUGAACUAUUGCCUGAACAAGAUGAAGCCCGGGGAAAUCCCAGGUGGAGGUCUGUAGCGAUGCUGACGUGCAAAUCGCUCGCAUGAUUUGGGUAUCGGAGCGAAAGACUCAUCGAACCACGCUAGUAGCUGGUUCACAUCGAAGUUUCCCUCAGGAUAGCUGGUGCUAAUUGUAGUACCUGUGCGGUAAAGCAAAUGAUUAGAGGCCAUUGGUGUUCUUAGUGAUAUCGAGCCUAUUCUCACAACCUUUAAAUGUGCAGAAAAACUGUCUUUUGCCUUGUGCAGGAAGGUACAGAAAGAAAAGAAUUUAGGCACCAAGUGGGCUCUUCUUCGGUAAGCGGAGCAGGCGAUGCGGAAUGAACCGCUUAGGGAUAUGUGGCGUCAAAACUUUUGGCUCAUUCUCGAUACGUG
Molecule: ribosomal RNA, 563 nt
Filed under: Rhynchomonas nasuta
Lineage: Eukaryota; Euglenozoa; Kinetoplastea; Neobodonida; Rhynchomonadidae
Description: eukaryotic LSU rRNA
Rfam family: Eukaryotic large subunit ribosomal RNA
Source: RNAcentral